RNAcentral lists this ribosomal RNA (551 nucleotides) under uncultured Bacillus sp. RNAcentral's name for it is "bacterial SSU rRNA". It matches the Rfam family "Bacterial small subunit ribosomal RNA", at positions 355 to 897 of the family's 1533-position model. The record is from RNAcentral. Lineage: Bacteria; Bacillati; Bacillota; Bacilli; Caryophanales; Bacillaceae.
UAGGGAAUCUUCCGCAAUGGACGAAAGUCUGACGGAGCAACGCCGCGUGAGUGAUGAAGGCUUUCGGGUCGUAAAACUCUGUUGUUAGGGAAGAACAAGUACGAGAGUAACUGCUCGUACCUUGACGGUACCUAACCAGAAAGCCACGGCUAACUACGUGCCAGCAGCCGCGGUAAUACGUAGGUGGCAAGCGUUAUCCGGAAUUAUUGGGCGUAAAGCGCGCGCAGGCGGUUUCUUAAGUCUGAUGUGAAAGCCCACGGCUCAACCGUGGAGGGUCAUUGGAAACUGGGGAACUUGAGUGCAGAAGAGAAAAGCGGAAUUCCACGUGUAGCGGUGAAAUGCGUAGAGAUGUGGAGGAACACCAGUGGCGAAGGCGGCUUUUUGGUCUGUAACUGACGCUGAGGCGCGAAAGCGUGGGGAGCAAACAGGAUUAGAUACCCUGGUAGUCCACGCCGUAAACGAUGAGUGCUAAGUGUUAGAGGGUUUCCGCCCUUUAGUGCUGCAGCUAACGCAUUAAGCACUCCGCCUGGGGAGUACGGUCGCAAGACUGC